GGGGGCGAAAUUGGUCUCGACAGGGAUAAUCUUGUUCAGGGGAAGCAUGCCGAGAUUGCUGGUGUCUCGUAAAAAAACCGGCAAAAAAGAAAAGACAACAAUUUCGCUUUAGCUGCAUAAUUUGCAGCAGGAUCUUUCAAGACCUGUCAGGGGUUUUGAAAAGAUCUUCAUAAUCCUGACUGCCGGUAUGGUAAGCCCGAGCCGUACCGUAAGAUUAGGGCAAAAAUCCUGAAAGGUUGCAUCCAGCCGAUCAGGAAUAACUUAUGGAUGCUAAGCAUGUAGAAGAACUGAACAUCUAUCUUUGGACGCGGGUUCGAUUCCCGCCGCCUCCAUUU
This 335-nucleotide transfer-messenger RNA is filed under the name bacterium. RNAcentral's name for it is "32-111 sp001508335 Standard tmRNA". It matches the Rfam family "transfer-messenger RNA". From Rfam's summary of the family: Bacterial tmRNA, also known as 10Sa RNA or SsrA, is named for its dual tRNA and mRNA-like properties. RNAcentral also lists the same sequence under 1 other name. The record is from RNAcentral.